This 404-nucleotide ribosomal RNA is filed under the name uncultured Streptococcus sp. Its description in RNAcentral is "bacterial SSU rRNA". It matches the Rfam family "Bacterial small subunit ribosomal RNA", at positions 977 to 1382 of the family's 1533-position model. Lineage: Bacteria; Bacillati; Bacillota; Bacilli; Lactobacillales; Streptococcaceae. The record is from RNAcentral.
GGCCUAAGUUUACGUAAGUAGGUAGUAGUAAACGUUACCUUCGGGUACAAUCGGUGUACAGGUGGUGCAUGGUUGUCGUCAGCUCGUGUCGUGAGAUGUUGGGUUAAGUCCCGCAACGAGCGCAACCCCUAUUGUUAGUUGCCAUCAUUCAGUUGGGCACUCUAGCGAGACUGCCGGUAAUAAACCGGAGGAAGGUGGGGAUGACGUCAAAUCAUCAUGCCCCUUAUGACCUGGGCUACACACGUGCUACAAUGGUUGGUACAACGAGUUGCGAGUCGGUGACGGCGAGCUAAUCUCUUAAAGCCAAUCUCAGUUCGGAUUGUAGGCUGCAACUCGCCUACAUGAAGUCGGAAUCGCCAGUAAUCGCGGAUCAGCACGCCGCGGUGAAUACGUUCCCGGGCCUU